This is an RNA transcript of Pan troglodytes (chimpanzee), 3222 nucleotides long. It is a transcript of the gene named H2B clustered histone 4, with no coding region annotated. The record is from RefSeq and is a predicted model, not a curated record. NCBI's taxonomy places the organism in Eukaryota, Metazoa, Chordata, Mammalia, Primates, Hominidae. The transcript has 3 exons.
GCAGAAGCACGGCCUGGAUGUUAGGAAGGACGCCGCCCUGAGCAAUGGUCACCCGGCCUAGCAGUUUGUUGAGCUCCUCGUCGUUGCGGAUGGCCAGCUGCAAGUGGCGCGGGAUGAUGCGAGUCUUCUUGUUGUCGCGAGCCGCGUUGCCGGCCAGCUCCAGGAUCUCGGCGGUCAGGUACUCUAACACCGCCGCCAGGUACACCGGCGCGCCUGCCCCAACCCGCUCUGCGUAGUUGCCUUUGCGGAGCAGGCGGUGCACUCGGCCCACCGGGAACUGGAGACCAGCGCGAGAAGAGCGGGAUUUCGCUUUGGCGCGAGCUUUGCCUCCCUGCUUACCACGUCCAGACAUUGCAAUCAGACAAAAUUACCAAAACCAGCGGCCUAAGCUCACGAGAAAACAAACAAAAUCAAGAAAUAUGUAAAACAUGGCUGCUUUUAUAGGUAGUUCCUGGGGAGUAAAUCCGACUUUUUGAUUGGUCGGUAGCAAAUGCUAGUCAGAUAGCCAAUAGAAAAGCUGUACUUUCAUACCUCAUUUGCAUAGCUCUGCCCACGGAUGACAACUCUGCAGUUUGUCUUCCAAUUAACUAAGAGGUACUCUCCAUCCCUCAUUAGCAUAAAAGCCCUAUAAGUAGCAGAAAUCUGCUCUUUACUUUCGACACAUUUCUGGUGUUUUAAGAUGCCUGAGCCAGCCAAGUCUGCUCCCGCCCCGAAGAAGGGCUCCAAGAAGGCGGUGACCAAAGCGCAGAAGAAAGAUGGCAAGAAGCGCAAGCGCAGCCGCAAGGAGAGUUACUCUGUGUACGUGUACAAGGUGCUGAAGCAGGUCCAUCCCGACACUGGCAUCUCUUCUAAGGCCAUGGGCAUCAUGAAUUCUUUCGUUAACGACAUAUUUGAGCGCAUCGCGGGCGAGGCUUCCCGCCUGGCGCAUUACAACAAGCGCUCGACCAUCACCUCCAGGGAGAUCCAGACGGCCGUGCGCCUGCUGCUUCCCGGAGAGCUGGCCAAGCACGCUGUGUCGGAGGGCACCAAGGCGGUCACCAAGUACACCAGCUCCAAGUAAACAUUCCAAGCUGGAGUGCAAUGGCGCGAUCUUGGCUCACAGCAACCUCCGCCUCCCGGGUUCAAGCCAUUCUCCUGCCUCAGCCUCCGGAGUAGCUGGGAUUACAGGCAUGCGCCACGACACCCUGGCUAAUUUUGUAUUUUCAGUAGAGACGAGGUUUCUCCAUGUCGGUCAGGCUGGUCUCGAACUCCGGACAUCAGGGGGAGACAACAGCUUUUAGACAUAUCUUUUCCAACAGUCGUCACUGCUGGACACUGUUUCAUCUUGCAAAUAAACCAAUGAAAAUGAGUGAUCCUAGAAGAAGAUAAAUGGAGGUAUUUUGAACAAUCAAAGAAGGACAAAUGAACACCUGGCUGAGAAAAAUUAGCUCUUUUUUUCUAUGCAUAAAACUAUUAAAAUAUUCUUCAUAGAAGUUUAUGACACGGGAAACAUAAAGACAAAAUUAAAAUAACUCCUAGUAUCUCCUAUUCUUUUUAUAUGUAUAUCAUAUAUACUCAUUCAUAUAUACAUAUAUCUCACAUCAUGUAUCAUAUAUAAAAUAAAUUUAGGUGUCAUGAUAUAUAUUUAGAUAAAUAUACUUAGAAACUUUUUUAUGGAUGUAUAAUUUAUGGAUGUAUUGAUAAUUAUGUAUUUGUUAUUGACUACUUCAAUUGAUUCCCAUUUUUAUGCAUUACAUUAUAGAUUAUAUAGCUCACACAUCUUUGUACAUAAAUCUUUGUUCAAAUAUUAUUUCCUAAGGAUAGACUUCAUGAAGUGGAAAUACUAAAUCAAAAGUGAAAAACAUUUUCUAAGGUUCUUAACAUAUACAUUGCCAAAUUGCUAUUCAGGAUCAUACCAAUUUAUAAUCCCAACAUAAUAUGGAAAUUCCUGUUUUAUAGCACUCAUAUUUACAAUAAAUUUUAAAAAUCAUUGUUAACCUAAUAGUCCCUCAAAAGAAAAAAAAAUUGAAAUUACAUUAUUUUAAUGACUCUAUUAGUGAGGGUCAUUCUUCCCAUGUUUCUUGUUAGCCAUGACCCUAUAAGAAAUAAACUGCACUGCAAAAUGAUAAACAUGAUAUCAAUCAUUACACGGGAAGGCACUAUAUAAAGAAUAAUACCUUAGGUUAAGGCCACAUAAAUAUUUAUCAGGUGCCUUUUCUGCGGAGGACUCUGAAGGGAUACUAAACUGCAUUUAGCUGCAUGCAACUGAAACUACUUUUACCUACAUUGUCUCUUAUAAACAUUAUAACUACUCUUUGAGAAAGUGUUUACUAUGGACUGAAUUGUCUCCCCAUCCCCCCAAAUUCAUAUAUUGAAGCCAUAAACCCCAAUAUGACUCUAUUCCUAGACAGGACUUACAAGAGGUAAUUAAGGUUAAAUGAGGUCAUUAGGAUGGGUUCCUAACUGGAUAGGAUUGGUGGCCUUAUAAGAAGAGGAAGAUUCUGCACUUGGUCUUCCAAAUUAAAUAAUUUAUUUAAAAGAAAAAAAAAAAGAGGAAGAGAGGGAGCUCUGCACAUAUACUGAGGAAAGGCUAUGUGAGCUCUCACAGUGAGAAGGUAGCACUCUACAAGCCAGCAAGAGAGCCCUCACCAGAAUCCAGCCAUGCUAUACCCUGCUCUGAGACUUCCAGCCUCCAGAACUGUGAUAAAAUUUUGUUGUUUAAACCACACAAUCUAUGGUAUUUUGUUAUGGCAGCCCAAGCCAACAAAGACAGCAUCAUUGCUGUCACUUACAGACAAGAAAACUAAGACUAGGAGAGAGAAAAGUUAAACUUGUCCAAGGUCACAAAAGCCAGAAACAAGUGAGGUGAGAAGUUGACCUUGUUCUCCUCAAUCCAAGGCCAGGACUCCUCCACUCCACAUGUAGAUAGCCACCUCACAGUCAACAGCCAAAUGUCCACACCCCAGAGUCAGCAUUAGACCAAGAUGUCUUACCAGGAGACAAAUGCCUCAUCUUGAAUAAAUAUGUUCUAACAACUUACCCAUGUAAAACAUUGAAUCUCAUGAAAAACAAAAAUGCAAAGUAUGUAGAAAACUAUGUUUACCACUUAACUGACAGUGAUACAAAGCUUAAUGAUAUCCUUAUAAUCUUGGAGGGGUUUGUAUAUGUGGUGAAACAGGUGCUCAUGCACUGCUGAUAGACUGUAAAUUGGUCCUAGAGAGAAAAAUAAACUGGAAGGAGAUA